UCAAGCGAAUAAGAGCGCAGGGUGGAUGCCUUGGCACUAAGAGCCGAAGAAAGACGUGAUAAGCUGCGAUAAGCUACGGUGAGGAGCAAAUAUCCAUUGACCCGUAGAUUUCUGAAUGGGGAAACCCGGCAGGAGAAACUCCUGUCACUGUAUGGUGAAUACAUAGCCAUAUAGAGGGAACCCGGUGAACUGAAACAUCUAAGUAGCCGGAGGAAGAGAAAACAACAGUGAUUUCCUAAGUAGCGGCGAGCGAACGGGAAAGAGCCCAAACCGGAUUGCGUGCAAUCCGGGGUUCGGACUGCAAACGUCAUUGUAAAAGGAUAACAGAAUGGUUUUGGGAAAGCCAGCCAGAGAGGGUGAAAGCCCCGUACGUGAAAUCUGAUUACAGGCAGCAGGAUCCAGAGUACCACGAGACACGUGGAACCUUGUGGGAACAAGCGGGGACCACCCCGUAAGGCUAAAUACUCCUUAGUGACCGAUAGCGCAUAGUACUGUGAAGGAAAGGUGAAAAGAACCCCGGGAGGGGAGUGAAAGAGAACCUGAAACCCUGUGAGUCAGCAGACAUAGACCCGAAACCGGGUGACCUACCCAUGUCCAGGUUGAAGCCGCUGUAAAAGGCGGUGGAGGACCGAACGCACAUCUGUUGAAAAAGGUGGCGAUGAGGUGUGGGUAGCGGAGAAAUUCCAAUCGAACUCGGAGAUAGCUGGUUCUCCCCGAAAUAGCUUUAGGGCUAGCCUUGAGUUAGACAUAUGGAGGUAGAGCACUGAAUGGCCGCGGGGGCGUCAAAGCUUACCAAAGCCUAUCAAACUCCGAAUGCCAUGUUGCCGAUGCUCAGGAGUCAGACUGCACGAGAUAAGUUGGGUAGUCGAGAGGGAAACAGCCCAGACCUACAGCUAAGGUCCCAAAGUACAUGUUAAGUGGAAAAGGAUGUGGGACUUCGAAGACAACUAGGAUGUUGGCUCAGAAGCAGCCAUACAUUCAAAGAGUGCGUAAUAGCUCACUAGUCGAGAGGUCCUGCGCCGAAAAUGUCCGGGGGGAACAGAAAUGUUGGUAGGGGAGCAUUGCUAGAGGAACGAAGCAGUACCGUAAGGAGCUGUGGACUUCUAGGAAGAGAGAAUGCCGGAAUGAGUAGCGAGAGUAAGGUGAGAAUCCUUACGGCCGAAUAUCUAAGGUUUCCAGAGUAAAGCUGAUCUGCUCUGGGUAAGUCGGGACCUAAGGCGAGGACGAAAGUCGUAGUCGAUGGAUAACAGGUGGAGAUUCCUGUACUCCGUAUAAACAGAACUGUGGGGACACGGGUGGAAAGCCUGACCCGGGAAUGGAAAGACCGGGACAAGCGAGGUACCAGAUAAGGAGGCAAAUCCCCUUAUCAAUGGGAAGACGUGAUGUGGAGCGAACCAAAGGGUAGCGAAGCAGGUGAGCCAGCCGUCGAGAAAAGCCGCUAUUGUUUUGUACGGACCCGUACCGUAAACCGACACAGGUGGAUGAGGAGAGAAUCCUAAGGCCGACGGGAGAAGCAUUGUUAAGGAACUCGGCAAAAUGACCCCGUAACUUCGGGAGAAGGGGUGCCUGAGGAAUCAGGCCGCAGAGAAUAGGUCCAAGCAACUGUUUAGCAAAAACACAGGUCUAUGCGAAACCGAAAGGUGAAGUAUAUGGGCUGACGCCUGCCCGGUGCUGGAAGGUUACGAGGAGUGCUUAGAGGCUUGCCUCGAAGGUGCGAAUUUAAGCCCCAGUAAACGGCGGCCGUAACUAUAACGGUCCUAAGGUAGCGAAAUUCCUUGUCGGGUAAGUUCCGACCCGCACGAAAGGCGUAAUG
This 1813-nucleotide ribosomal RNA is filed under the name human gut metagenome. RNAcentral's name for it is "bacterial LSU rRNA". It matches the Rfam family "Bacterial large subunit ribosomal RNA", at positions 1 to 2006 of the family's 2925-position model. The record is from RNAcentral.